Molecule: ribosomal RNA, 272 nt
Filed under: uncultured Syntrophorhabdus sp.
Lineage: Bacteria; Pseudomonadati; Thermodesulfobacteriota; Syntrophorhabdia; Syntrophorhabdales; Syntrophorhabdaceae
Description: partial 16S ribosomal RNA
Rfam family: Bacterial small subunit ribosomal RNA
Source: RNAcentral
AGUUGCCAUCAUUAAGUUGGGCACUCUGAGGAAACUGCCCCGGGUUAAACCGGGAGGGAAGGCGGGGAUGACGUCAAGUCCUCAUGGCCCUUAUGUCCAGGGCUACACACGUGCUACAAUGGGCGGUACAAAGGGUCGCAAACCCGUAAGGGGGAGCUAAUCCACCAAAAGCCGUCCUCAGUUCGGAUUGAGGUCUGCAACUCGACCUCAUGAAGCUGGAAUCGCUAGUAAUCGCGGAUCAGCAUGCCGCGGUGAAUACGUUCCCGGGCCUU